Molecule: ribosomal RNA, 699 nt
Filed under: Pseudomonas sp.
Lineage: Bacteria; Pseudomonadati; Pseudomonadota; Gammaproteobacteria; Pseudomonadales; Pseudomonadaceae
Description: bacterial SSU rRNA
Rfam family: Bacterial small subunit ribosomal RNA
Source: RNAcentral
GCAGGCCUAACACAUGCAAGUCGAGCGGUAGAGAGAAGCUUGCUUCUCUUGAGAGCGGCGGACGGGUGAGUAAUGCCUAGGAAUCUGCCUGGUAGUGGGGGAUAACGUUCGGAAACGGACGCUAAUACCGCAUACGUCCUACGGGAGAAAGCAGGGGACCUUCGGGCCUUGCGCUAUCAGAUGAGCCUAGGUCGGAUUAGCUAGUUGGUGAGGUAAUGGCUCACCAAGGCGACGAUCCGUAACUGGUCUGAGAGGAUGAUCAGUCACACUGGAACUGAGACACGGUCCAGACUCCUACGGGAGGCAGCAGUGGGGAAUAUUGGACAAUGGGCGAAAGCCUGAUCCAGCCAUGCCGCGUGUGUGAAGAAGGUCUUCGGAUUGUAAAGCACUUUAAGUUGGGAGGAAGGGCAGUUACCUAAUACGUGAUUGUUUUGACGUUACCGACAGAAUAAGCACCGGCUAACUCUGUGCCAGCAGCCGCGGUAAUACAGAGGGUGCAAGCGUUAAUCGGAAUUACUGGGCGUAAAGCGCGCGUAGGUGGUUAGUUAAGUUGGAUGUGAAAUCCCCGGGCUCAACCUGGGAACUGCAUUCAAAACUGACUGACUAGAGUAUGGUAGAGGGUGGUGGAAUUUCCUGUGUAGCGGUGAAAUGCGUAGAUAUAGGAAGGAACACCAGUGGCGAAGGCGACCACCUGGACUG